This 253-nucleotide ribosomal RNA is filed under the name uncultured bacterium. RNAcentral describes it as "partial 16S ribosomal RNA". It matches the Rfam family "Bacterial small subunit ribosomal RNA", at positions 524 to 776 of the family's 1533-position model. The record is from RNAcentral.
UACGGAGGGGGCUAGCGUUAUUCGGAAUUACUGGGCGUAAAGCGCACGUAGGCGGACUGGAAAGUCAGGGGUGAAAUCCCAGAGCUCAACUCUGGAACUGCCUUUGAUACUGGGUGUCUUGAGUGUGAUAGAGGUAUGUGGAACUCCGAGUGUAGAGGUGAAAUUCGUAGAUAUUCGGAAGAACACCAGUGGCGAAGGCGGCUCACUGGACUGGUAUUGACGCUGAGGUGCGAAAGCGUGGGGAGCAAACAGG